This 1036-nucleotide ribosomal RNA is filed under the name uncultured Actinomycetes bacterium. RNAcentral describes it as "bacterial SSU rRNA". It matches the Rfam family "Bacterial small subunit ribosomal RNA", at positions 231 to 1276 of the family's 1533-position model. Lineage: Bacteria; Bacillati; Actinomycetota; Actinomycetes. The record is from RNAcentral.
UCGCGGCCUAUCAGCUUGUUGGUGGGGUAAUGGCCUACCAAGGCGACGACGGGUAGCCGGCCUGAGAGGGUGACCGGCCACACUGGGACUGAGACACGGCCCAGACUCCUACGGGAGGCAGCAGUGGGGAAUAUUGCACAAUGGGCGAAAGCCUGAUGCAGCGACGCCGCGUGAGGGAUGACGGCCUUCGGGUUGUAAACCUCUUUCAGCACGGAAGAAGCGGAAGUGACGGUACGUGCAGAAGAAGCGCCGGCUAACUACGUGCCAGCAGCCGCGGUAAUACGUAGGGCGCAAGCGUUGUCCGGAAUUAUUGGGCGUAAAGAGCUCGUAGGCGGUUUGUCGCGUCUGCUGUGAAAGCCCGGGGCUUAACCCCGUGGUGUGCAGUGGGUACGGGCAGACUAGAGUGCAGUAGGGGAGACUGGAAUUCCUGGUGUAGCGGUGAAAUGCGCAGAUAUCAGGAGGAACACCGAUGGCGAAGGCAGGUCUCUGGGCUGUUACUGACGCUGAGGAGCGAAAGCAUGGGGAGCGAACAGGAUUAGAUACCCUGGUAGUCCAUGCCGUAAACGUUGGGCACUAGGUGUGGGGGACAUUCCACGUUUUCCGCGCCGUAGCUAACGCAUUAAGUGCCCCGCCUGGGGAGUACGGCCGCAAGGCUAAAACUCAAAGGAAUUGACGGGGGCCCGCACAAGCGGCGGAGCAUGCGGAUUAAUUCGAUGCAACGCGAAGAACCUUACCAAGGCUUGACAUACACCAGACCGGCCCAGAGAUGGGUUUUCCUCUUUGAGGCUGGUGUACAGGUGGUGCAUGGUUGUCGUCAGCUCGUGUCGUGAGAUGUUGGGUUAAGUCCCGCAACGAGCGCAACCCUCGUUCUAUGUUGCCAGCACGUGAUGGUGGGGACUCAUAGGAGACUGCCGGGGUCAACUCGGAGGAAGGUGGGGAUGACGUCAAAUCAUCAUGCCCCUUAUGUCUUGGGCUUCACGCAUGCUACAAUGGCCGGUACAAUGGGUUGCGAUACCGUGAGGUGGAGCUAAUCCCA